GCGUUGGUGGUUCAGUGGUAGAAUUCUCGCCUACCACGCGGGAGACCGCGGUUCGAUUCCCCGCCAACGCA
This 71-nucleotide transfer RNA is filed under the name Paramuricea clavata. It matches the Rfam family "tRNA". From Rfam's summary of the family: Transfer RNA (tRNA) molecules are approximately 80 nucleotides in length. Lineage: Eukaryota; Metazoa; Cnidaria; Anthozoa; Malacalcyonacea; Plexauridae. The record is from Rfam by way of RNAcentral.